RNAcentral lists this ribosomal RNA (708 nucleotides) under uncultured bacterium. RNAcentral's name for it is "bacterial SSU rRNA". It matches the Rfam family "Bacterial small subunit ribosomal RNA", at positions 142 to 863 of the family's 1533-position model. The record is from RNAcentral.
AAUAACGCAGCGAAAGCUGUGCUAAUACCGCAUGAGACCACAAGAUCGCAUGGUCAAGGGGUCAAAGGAGCAAUCCGGUGAAGGGUGGGCUCGCGUCUGAUUAGCUAGUUGGCGGGGUAACGGCCCACCAAGGUAACGAUCAGUAGCCGACCUGAGAGGGUGAUCGGCCACACUGGGACUGAGACACGGCCCAGACUCCUACGGGAGGCAGCAGUGGGGAAUAUUGGGCAAUGGGCGAAAGCCUGACCCAGCAACGCCGCGUGAGGGAAGAAGGUUUUCGGAUCGUAAACCUCUGUCCUUGGUGAAGAGUAAGAGACGGUAGCCAAGGAGGAAGCCCCGGCUAACUACGUGCCAGCAGCCGCGGUAAUACGUAGGGGGCGAGCGUUGUCCGGAAUGAUUGGGCGUAAAGGGCGCGUAGGCGGCCUGUUAAGUCUGGAGUGAAAUUCCUGCUUUCAAGGUAGGAAGUGCUUUGGAAACUGGCGGGCUGGAGUGCAGGAGAGGUUAGCGGAAUUCCCGGUGUAGCGGUGAAAUGCGUAGAGAUCGGGAGGAACACCAGUGGCGAAGGCGGCUAACUGGACUGUAACUGACGCUGAGGCGCGAAAGUGUGGGGAGCAAACAGGAUUAGAUACCCUGGUAGUCCACACUGUAAACGAUGAAUGCUAGGUGUAGGGGGUAUCGACCCCUUCUGUGCCGGAGUAAACACAAUAA